CCGGUCACCUUCGGGUGACUGGUACACGAGUGGCGCACGGGUGAGUAACGCGUGGGCAACCUGCCCUCGGGUCUGGGACAACUCCGAGAAACUGGAGCUAAUACCGGAUGAGACCACGAGGUCCUCGGACUUCGCGGAAAAAGGUGGCCUCUCCUUGGAAGCUACCGCCCGUCGAUGGGCCCGCGUCCCAUUAGCUUGUUGGUGAGGUAACAGCUCACCAAGGCUCCGAUGGGUAGCUGGUCUGAGAGGAUGAUCAGCCACACUGGAACUGAGACACGGUCCAGACUCCUACGGGAGGCAGCAGUCGGGAAUUUUGGGCAAUGGGGGCAACCCUGACCCAGCAACGCCGCGUGAGGGAUGAAGGCCUUCGGGUCGUAAACCUCUGUCGGGAGGGAAGAAAGGUCAACGUUCGAAUAGGGCGGGGGCUUGACGGUACCUCCAAAGGAAGCGCCGGCUAACUCCGUGCCAGCAGCCGCGGUAAUACGGAGGGCGCGAGCGUUGUUCGGAAUCAUUGGGCGUAAAGCGCGUGUAGGCGGCUUGGCAAGUCGGAUGUGAAAGCCCGGGGCCCAACCCCGGAACUGCAUUCGAAACUGCCUCGCUCGAGUCC
RNAcentral lists this ribosomal RNA (607 nucleotides) under uncultured delta proteobacterium. RNAcentral's name for it is "bacterial SSU rRNA". It matches the Rfam family "Bacterial small subunit ribosomal RNA", at positions 70 to 649 of the family's 1533-position model. The record is from RNAcentral. Lineage: Bacteria; Deltaproteobacteria.